GACUUCAAACAUUCAAAAGUUGAGUUGACUCUGCCAAACACUGACACAUUAUAGCACAUAAAUCAUGCUCAAUAGAUAUAUGAUACUUACUCUCCAGCUUUUGUCUUGCUUUCCACCGAGCGCUAUGAAGUGCCAGUUUUAGAGGGUGAGGUGGCGGUCGUUGCUCUCUUAUGUGACAUACUGGAGCAGAGGUGAGAGGUGAGAGCUCUUUCCGGGCUAAUCCUGAUUUAAUCUCUGUAAACUAAGAAGAAACCAGAAAAUCCUGCACACCAGGUCAUCAGUGAUCCGGCUAUCAUCAAAGAAGGAGGGCGCCACAGCUUGCAUGGCUCUGGUUUCAGAGCAGAUGUGCCCGGGUAUCAGGGAUCACCUGGGGAAGCCUCGGCCUCCUGGCAGGACCAGCUGCCCUCCUAGAACAGGCUGUCAGCUCUUAUUUAUCUAAUUGGUGUUACUGGUGAAGAGGCACUGACCCGCCACCCUUCACCCCUUCCACCAGCCUCCCUCCUCCUCCUCCACGAGGCCCUACCCCGGCCCUCUCAUUGGCCCUUAGACCUCAUGUCUCCAGCUCCGUACAUGCAAACCCACUACUUUUAUGCACCCUUGCACAUUGAACUCUGUUUAACCCGUAGUGAGCAAAGGCUCAUCACCAGUGACAGGUCAGACCCGGCUGACCGUCUCACCGCCAAGAGACUGAAGAGGGCCACGGAUCUGGCCUUUAGGCCAUGUUCAAAGUGAAAACACCCAUGAAAGUACCUGUAUGUUUUAAAAACACAUGGUACCUUCUCAACUACAGGCACCGUUGAGAAGAUGAAAUACAGACCUGGAUGUCUAGUUUGAAGACUUGUCAGAUGCCAAGACACUGCAGCGGAGCCGCAGUGCACUGACUCAUGAGGACGGAGAAGUAGAUAUCCUACUGCAGGGAUAUUCGACAGAGUUAUAAAGACCAGUGGACAGACAGGAAGUGUGGAAGGCUGACAGGAAGAGAGGCCCGAUUUUACUGCGCCAGCGCUAAACGGGAGUUUCGAAAUGGAGAAAGCAGAGAGGACAAGAGCAAGGAGGAGGAGGGGGGAGGAGUUGAGUUGACUGCCUGAGAAACGAAUACUGGCUCACUGAAAGAGUUUCAGUCAGGAAGGCACAGUGGCUGGCUUUCCUCCGCCACUCCGGCAUAUUUUUCCAUGAGAGCGCGAGAUGCACUGGGAAUACGAGAGCAGUCAACACUCUGGUUUUUGAGCAGCAGGGGCAGGAGCUCAGAGAAUGACAGCGUGUCUGUGGCGGGCAGAAACCCGAACUCUCUGAUCUCGUCUCAGAGUCUCCUGCCUCCCAGCUGUCACUGUGCCUCUGGCAUCCUACUCGGCCUCUCGCCCCCCUCCCGCUCCCUUUGAAGACGGCUACCCAGGAAAUUGAAAGCUGUUUUCAAACAAAGACAAGAGAGGAGAGAAGAGUACAGACACUGUGAAAAAGGGAGUGUGUGAAAAGAGGGUGAUGGAGAGGUUUUAGGUUAAAAAGGGUUAGAGAUGUUCUUCAGUGAGGCAAAAUCUAUCUUUACUGUCUGCGCUAUAGUUAAUCAAAUGCUGAUCAGACAGUAUCAUCUGUGAUGACGUGCUUCCUUCCUGGCUACAGCUACUUAAAACAGUGUGUGCAUUUGCGAUGACAUUUUAUAUCCUCUGAAAUUUGACAUUUUUUUGCAUUAAAUUGUUGAAUUGUGUUUAUUUAUUUGUUCAUUUAGAUCAGUUAAGUGUCCCAGGCUUACCCUAUACAUUAAAUAGGCAAGUUUGAGGCAUUAAAUGGUUGGUUUACUUUAAUCACAAUAAAGCUAACAUAUUUUCCUCACAAUUUGCCUCCUUUGUAUAAGGGUGGCCGCAGACAUUUUA
Long non-coding RNA from Thunnus maccoyii (southern bluefin tuna), 1868 nucleotides. RefSeq lists it as uncharacterized. The transcript has 6 exons. The record is from RefSeq and is a predicted model, not a curated record. NCBI's taxonomy places the organism in Eukaryota, Metazoa, Chordata, Actinopteri, Scombriformes, Scombridae.